This 103-nucleotide microRNA precursor is filed under the name Drosophila virilis. Its description in RNAcentral is "microRNA dvi-mir-9545 precursor". Lineage: Eukaryota; Metazoa; Arthropoda; Insecta; Diptera; Drosophilidae. The record is from miRBase by way of RNAcentral.
UGGUCGGGUCUUAUGGGUUUAGGAUUGUGGCCUUUCAACGUUUUUGUUUUUUCAUUAAUAAACAUUGUCUGCGCCACAAUUCUAACCUCAUUGGGCCCCGUUU